AGGUGACUCCAAUUGAACCGCAGGCUUCAUCCCUUGUGGUGCUCCCCCGCCAAUUCCUUUAAGUUCAUACUUGCGUACGUACUUCCCAGGCGGCAGACUUAACGGCUUCCCUGCGGCACUGCAUUGGCCACAAGCCAAUGCAUCACCGAGUCUGCAUCGUUUACAGCUGGGACUACCCGGGUAUCUAAUCCGGUUUGCUCCCCCAGCUUUCAUCCCUCACCGUCGAACGUGUUCUGGUACACCGCCUUCGCCACAGGUGGUCUUCAAUAGAUCAAAGGAUUUUACCCCUUCCUAUCGAGUACCGUGUACCUCUCCCACUCCCUAGCUGCACAGUAUUUUCGGCGGCCUAUACGUUAAGCGCAUAGAUUUAACCGAAAACUUAUGCAACCGGCUACGGAUGCUUUAGGCCCAAUAAACCUCCUGACCACUCGAGGUGCUGGUUUUACCGCGGCGGCUGACACCAGAACUUGCCCACCCCUUAUUCACCAGUGAUUCUACAACUGACAAAAGACUCCUUUAGCAGGAGACACUCGGAUUAACCUUGUCGUGCUUUCGCACAUUGCAAAGGUUUCUCGCCUGCUGCGCCCCAUAGGGCCUGGGUCCGGUCUCAUACCAUCUCGGGCCCCUCUCUCAAGCCCGACUGUUUAGCUUGUGGGCAUUACUCACAAAAGU
Molecule: ribosomal RNA, 672 nt
Filed under: uncultured archaeon
Lineage: Archaea
Description: partial 16S ribosomal RNA
Source: RNAcentral